CUGAACUUAAGCAUAUCAAUAAGCGGAGGAAAAGAAACUAACAAGGAUUCCCCUAGUAACUGCGAGUGAAGCGGGAAAAGCUCAAAUUUAAAAUCUGGCGGUCUUUGGCUGUCCGAGUUGUAGUCUGGAGAAGCGUUUUCCGCGCUGGACCGUGUACAAGUCCCUUGGAAUAGGGCGUCAUAGAGGGUGAGAAUCCCGUCUUUGACACGGACUACCAGUGCUUUGUGAUGCGCUCUCAAAGAGUCGAGUUGUUUGGGAAUGCAGCUCAAAAUGGGUGGUAAAUUCCAUCUAAAGCUAAAUAUUGGCGAGAGACCGAUAGCGAACAAGUACCGUGAGGGAAAGAUGAAAAGCACUUUGGAAAGAGAGUUAAACAGUACGUGAAAUUGCUAAAAGGGAAACGCUUGAAGUCAGUCGCGUUUAUCAGAACUCAGCCUGGCUUUUGCUUGGUGUAUUUUCUGUAUGACGGGCCAGCAUCAAUUUUGGCCGCUGGAAAAAGGCCUCAGAAAUGUGGCACCUUCGGGUGUGUUAUAGUCUGAGGUCAUAUACAGCGGCUGGGAUUGAGGUCUGCAGCACGCCUUUAUGGCUGGGGUUCGCCCACAUUCGUGCUUAGGAUGCUGGCGUAAUGGCUUUAAACGACCCGUCUUGAAACACGGACCAAGGAGUCUAACAUGCCUGCGAGUGUUUGGGUGGAAAACCCGAGCGCGCAAUGAAAGUGAAAGUUGAGAUCCCUGUCGUGGGGAGCAUCGACGCCCGGACCAGACCUUUUGUGACGGAUCUGCGGUAGAGCAUGUAUGUUGGGACCCGAAAGAUGGUGAACUAUGCCUGAAUAGGGUGAAGCCAGAGG
This 844-nucleotide ribosomal RNA is filed under the name Cerrena consors. RNAcentral's name for it is "eukaryotic LSU rRNA". It matches the Rfam family "Eukaryotic large subunit ribosomal RNA", at positions 28 to 858 of the family's 3401-position model. Lineage: Eukaryota; Fungi; Basidiomycota; Agaricomycetes; Polyporales; Cerrenaceae. The record is from RNAcentral.